RNAcentral lists this ribosomal RNA (426 nucleotides) under uncultured bacterium. RNAcentral describes it as "bacterial SSU rRNA". It matches the Rfam family "Bacterial small subunit ribosomal RNA", at positions 29 to 460 of the family's 1533-position model. The record is from RNAcentral.
AAUGAACGCUGGCGGUGUGCUUAACACAUGCAAGUCGAGCGAGAAAGUCCUUUCGGGGAUGAGUAAAGCGGCGAACUGGUGAGUAAUAUACGAGUAUCUACCCUUUAGUGAAGGAUACCUUCGAGAAAUCGAAUUCAAUACUGCAUUCGUCCCUCCGGGGAGAAAGGUGGCUUUAUGCUGCCGCUGAAGGAUGAGCUUGUACGCUAUUAGCUUGUUGGUAAGGUAAAAGCUUACCAAGGCUAUGAUGGCUAGCCGGCCUGAGAGGGUGUACGGCCACAUUGGAACUGAGAUACGGUCCAGACUCCUACGGGAGGCAGCAGUGGGGAAUAUUGCGCAAUGGGCGAAAGCCUGACGCAGCGACACCGCGUGGAGGAUGAAGGCUUUAGGGUCGUAAACUCCUGUUAGAUAGGAAGAAAAGUUUUACUU